GAUGAACGCUGGCGGCGUGCUUAACACAUGCAAGUCGAACGGGAAACCUUUUAUUGAAGCUUCGGCAGAUUUAGCUGGUUUCUAGUGGCGGACGGGUGAGUAACGCGUGGGUAACCUGCCUUAUACAGGGGGAUAACAACCAGAAAUGGUUGCUAAUACCGCAUAAGCGCACAGGACCGCAUGGUCCGGUGUGAAAAACUCCGGUGGUAUAAGAUGGACCCGCGUUGGAUUAGCUAGUUGGCAGGGUAACGGCCUACCAAGGCGACGAUCCAUAGCCGGCCUGGGAGGGUGAACGGCCACAUUGGGACUGAGACACGGCCCAGACUCCUACGGGAGGCAGCAGUGGGGAAUAUUGCACAAUGGGGGAAACCCUGAUGCAGCGACGCCGCGUGAAGGAAGAAGUAUCUCGGGAUGUAAACUUCUAUCAGCAGGGAAGAUAGUGACGGUACCUGACGAAGAAGCCCCGGCUAACUACGUG
This 478-nucleotide ribosomal RNA is filed under the name uncultured bacterium. Its description in RNAcentral is "partial 16S ribosomal RNA". It matches the Rfam family "Bacterial small subunit ribosomal RNA", at positions 28 to 507 of the family's 1533-position model. The record is from RNAcentral.